UACGUAGGGGGCUAGCGUUGUCCGGAUUUAUUGGGCGUAAAGAGCUCGUAGGCGGUCUGUCGCGUCGGUCGUGAAAACUUGGGGCUUAACCCUGAGCUUGCGGUCGAUACGGGCAUGACUGGAGUUCGGUAGGGGAGACUGGAAUUCCUGGUGUAGCGGUGAAAUGCGCAGAUAUCAGGAGGAACACCGGUGGCGAAGGCGGGUCUCUGGGCCGAUACUGACGCUGAGGAGCGAAAGCGUGGGGAGCGAACAGG
This 254-nucleotide ribosomal RNA is filed under the name uncultured bacterium. Its description in RNAcentral is "partial 16S ribosomal RNA". It matches the Rfam family "Bacterial small subunit ribosomal RNA", at positions 524 to 776 of the family's 1533-position model. The record is from RNAcentral.